UGGUAGGAAACGAAGGAUUCAAGAAGGUAUUUGAUGAGCUUUCUGAUAUUCAUGUGUUAAGGGUAGAAAAUGCUAAAGACCCAGUUCCUACACUUCCACCAAAUAAAUUAAUUGUAAUACCUCAGCAUCGUUAUUAUCAUGUGGGAGAAAGCUUACCAAUUGACACUACACUCUCACCCUUCUUAAAGACUAGUGAUGUUAAUCCACAUGAUUUGAACGUCUACUUGCAUGGAGUUGCAGGAACACAGGGCAGUAAAGGAGGUUUUAAUUUAGACUAUCCUCUUGAUACUGCAUUGAUAAACAAAACUGUAGAUGGUCUGAAUGAAAAACAUAAUUACAAUAUACCACCUAAUUGGUGGGUUGAGGAGAAUAACGGUAUGGUUUUACAAGACGAUGGAACCUAUAAGGCAGAAUUUUACAUUCCAGAUGUUUUGUAAUUGGAAACCAACAUCUCUCUCUCUUUUUAUAUAUAGAAUAUAAAAUAAAGGGUGCCAUGGGUUGGCUUCUACCUUCUAAGUGAUGUGUUACCAGUAAAUCAAAUAAAUUAGUAAGGCCAUAUGUAUGCCUUCAUCAUGUACUUUUCAAUUUGAAUAAAAAGACAAUAAUUAUGUAGAAAUUGAUCUUGCAAUGCAUGUUUAAUUUUUUAUUUUAUCAACAAUAAAAUUUUUUAUUAAAAUUAAAGAAUCAGGAAAAUUUAACAUUUUCAAGAAUUUACCUUAAUCCAACAGACUUCGUAUUGUUCGUCUUACAAUACAUGUUAAAUUGCUGCUUUAUCUGAAGUACAAGAAAAUAUUUAAUAUAUUUUUAACUGUUUUUUCUUUUCUAUAAAUGAACUAAGUUAAUUACUUUUCUAUAAAUGAAUUAAGUUAACUGUUUUUUCAAGAAUUUAACUGUCAUAAAUAUAUAUAUAUAUAUAUAUAUAUAUAUAUUGUUGUAGUAAAAACACUUUGCAGUAAAUAAAGGUCAAAAAUACCAAGAAAAAAUUUAUUAUGUCUACUUACUAAACCAUAUGCAACAAAACUAAUUAUUUACAACCAACUUCAUUACAAAAUCAGAUUUGGGAAGAUAAAUUUUUUUAUGAUAAAUCUUUUGGGGAUAUAAACAAAAUUUUUUAAACUUGUAGGGAGGUUAAAUAUAAUUUUUUAAUAUUUUUAAGGAUCAAAAUGCAAUUUUUUACAAGAAUUUUUUUUUUUUUUAAAAAUAAAUUUCUUGGAAUGCCUCUGGUCUCCUUGAGUCUUCAUUAAGCUCCACUCUCCGAUAGUGUUUAUAUUAGUGUUUAAAAUUUUAGGGAGUGUAUUAUCAAAUAUUAUUCUCUUUAAUAUUUGGUCAAAUAUUUUAAUAAAAUAAUUUACAACUAUUAGGACAAUAAACAAUUACUUAAAUAACUAAUUUCAUCCUGCAUAUUUUAUUCUAAUAAAAAAAUACUUUUUGCUGAUAAAAAAAAUGGUGGAACCUUUUUUCGUCCACACAGUUAUUACAUGUUUAAUUUUAUCGUGUAUGAUGAUAAUGUAUGAAUAAUUACAACACAACAAAACAAAUAAUCGCAUUAAUUAUUAGUUUUGUCGAAAAUUUUUAAUUUUUUCUGUUUUGAUAAUUGUAUAUUUAGAUUGUUAAAAAAGUUACAAUCAAGUGUAUUUAGUCUAAUUGUUGCUCAUCAAGGAAAUGGCCACGAAAUGGAUUUUUCAAAUGACAGUAUGGUUGCUUAUUUUUGCUUACAGUGCUUGGUUUUCUCAUUCUUUUUGCAUUUGACUGAUGGCUUUGACAUUUUUGCUGGAAGGUCGAGUUUAUAUUCUGGAUAUGUACAACCCUGGAAUAUAUCCAUUAGUAAGUUGCAUAGACUCAAACUUGGGGUACUGCUUCUUUCUUACACAAGUCUAUCAAUCUCUCUUCUUCAUAUUUUCUGGCUUCCACCUAUCAGGUAACAAAUUCUUUUUACUCUUGUACAGUUGUUACUGUUGACUGGUUUGUGAAUAUUUCUCUGACAGGAUUAUGAGGCUAGGAGAUAUAUUGAUCAGAAUGUUGAAGUAGUGGUAAGCCUUCGUUAUUUCUCAGUGAAAUGAAUUAUAAUUUUUUCCCUUCAAUAUAAUAUGUUCAUUCUUCCUAUAAUUGAACAGAGUGGGACCACAACAAACGAGUACUUGACAAAAUUAGAUGAAGCACUUCAGGUCUACAGUCAUACCUGCUUUUUACUUCAAUAUGCUUUGCUUCUCAGUUUAUGCUGGAUGGUUUAAUCUCAAUGGAAAUAAGCUUUCAAAUGUGCUUUCACAAUGGAAUCUUGUUAAUCAGGAGAAACAAAUGUGUUAUACGUGCUGCUCUUAUCUUCUCUGAUAGAUUGUCUGCCUUACUUGGAAUUUAAAGGGCCCGUUGGUUUAUAUCAGUCAAUUUGUGUAUGUCAUCCUUGAGCCUGUGCUACCUGGAAUAUUUUUCUAUUAUUAUGUUUUUAACUCUAAGUUACAACAGUGUGUUCCUUUUUUUAAUUAAAAGGAGGGCUGUAAACCCAUUAAAUGACCACACGAGGCCAACCCGCACCACACAUCAGCAUCCAAAAGCAACUUUACCUCAGGCGAGGAUUGUCUAACCAGUCCACACCCACUGACCCAGCAGUAACGCUCUUAGCAAGAAAGUCUGCAACAACAUAAACAUGCAUUUAAUUUAUCUCUCUUUUUAAUUUUUUUUAAUUUUUUAUUAUUUUAUCUCUUGUCUCUAAAAAACACUCUCUUUUUUUUUUUAAAUUACAAAACAAGGAAAAGAAUAAUAAAAAAAAUAAAUCAAUAUAAUUGAGUAAAAUAGUUUGUUAUGACUUUCUUUUUUAACAAAUUUCGAACAGAUACACUCAAGUUAUUAAUUCAGACAUUUAAUUAUAAAGUUUUUCCAUUGAAAUAUUAAAAUAGAAAAAAACUAGAAAGUUCAAUUACCAAGAAUCAUUGCAUAUAUUUUAAUUAAAUAUGUCUCAUGUUAUCAAAUAGAAAAUACGAGUAUCGCGCUGGAUAAUUAUCAUAAAUUAUACAUUUAUAAAUGCAAUUUUAAAAUUAUGUUAUAAUAAAAUGAAAUAUAGUAUUGCAUAAUAUUAUGUACGAUAAGUCCAUUUAUUAAUUUUAUACAUAACAAUUCAACUUAUAGACAAUAUUAUGAAUAUUACAUUGACAUUAUCAUGCACGCGGAAUUAUAUAAGACGUCAUAAUAGUAUUUAUACGGCUUGGUAAUGCUAUUUUUUCAAAAUAUUCGUUGCCAAAAAAUAUGUAUUUUAAUCUAAUAAAGUUAGAAAUCCAUUUAUGUGCAUAUUUAUGUGUGUUUUUACUUUAGUUGACAUAAUUUUAUUAUAAAUUUUUUGAACAAUACAAUUUUAUCAUCAACCUAUUAUAAUUUAAAAAUAUUUAAAAAAUAACAAUACCAAGUAAAUGAAUUAUUAAUGAAAUUAACUUCAUCAUCCAUUUAUAAUUUAAAUAAUAUUAAAAAUAAUUUAUAUUCAUAAUUUAAUUGAAACAUAAAUACAUGAAAUACUAUAGAUAUUAAGGAACUUAUUUUAUUUUACAUGUAUAUUAAGUGAGAUACACAUCUAAAUAUAUAGAAAAGAUUAAAAUUAGUAUUGCAUCUAUUAGCUUUAAAUAUAUUCAUUAUAAUUCUACGAUUUAUUAUUUUGAGUAAAAAUAAAUAUUUUAUCAAUUUAGUAUCUCAAUUAAAGUUUUUUAGUAUGAAUGUACACAAAAGAAAAAAAAAAAAAUCUUUUAACGUGAAUCUAUUAGAUAUAUAAUAUUUCUCAAAUGAGAAUGAACAAUUUAUAUAAAUGAAAAUAAAAUUUAAUUUUUAUUAAUUUCUUUUAUCUUUGAAAUUUUAAUUUGAGUCAAUCUAGACAAAAAAAAAUUUAAAUUCAUAUAGAUAUUAUUAUGUUGUGUUUAAAUAAGAUGUCAAAUAUUAUUCUUUUAUUGAUUGAAGUAAUAAAAAUAAAAAUUAUUGUUCGAAAAUUGUAUUAGUAAAGCUUUAUAUAAGUUUGAAAUAUUAAUUUUUAAUUUGCUUGAAAAAACUAUUAUCAACAUUUAAUAAUUUGUAUUUGAUGGAUAACUGUAUAUUAUAAAUGCAUAUAUACUAUUUUAACAAUAAUAUGUAUGUACAUGAAUUAUCAAAAAUAUCAAAUUUCAAUGAUUUUCAUAUUAUAAGAGAAGAUACAUGAAAUUUAUUGAUUAGUUGGGUAAAAAAAAUGAAAAAUAAUUUCAAAUAAUUUUACAAUCACAUGCAUAUGUAUAAAGUUACCUAGGGACUUUUACAAAUAAUUUCAAAUUUUAAAGUUUUCUAGAAAAACUUAAAAAUCAAUAUUUCUUUUUUUGAAAAAAACAUAAUAAACUCAUUUAUGGCUUCAAAAAAUACAAUACAUUUUUACAAUAGUUAUCUUUAGUUAUUAAUAAAUUUUUAAUUUUUUUAAAUAUUAAUAAUAUAGCUAAUAUUAAUUGUAUCAAUAUUUAUGAAAAGUAAACUAUUUUAAUUUUUUUAAUUUUAUUUUUCUAUUUAUUUAAUAAAAAAUAGUAAUUACUUUAAAAAAUGAUAAUAGAAAUUUUAAUGUUAAAUUAAUAUGUCAUAAUUAGAUACCUAGUUUCAUGCAUUGUAUCUUAUUAAAUAUAAUUUUUAAUAUUUUAAUAAUUUUCACUUUUCAAUAUUCAAAUAAAAAUACUUUAAAAGGAAGAAAUGUUAAAAUUUAAAUUAAAGAUGAUCAUUUAUUAAAGAUUAAAUUAAAUUUAAAAUUGAGAUUAAAUGAUUAUAAGAUUAUUUAUUUAUGUAUAAAUAUUUAACUUCAUUGUAGAAAUUUUUUUUGUAAUUUAAUAAGAAUAUUAUAUUUGAUAUAUAUAUGAUAAUUAUUUGAAAAAUAAUUUACAAUUAAAUUAUAUUAUUAUUAUUAUUAUUUUGUUAUAAGAAUGGAAAUCAAUAUACUUCUUAAUUUUAUUAAUAAUAAUCAUUAAAAUAAAAAUAAAAAUAAAAAUAUCUUUUUUUUUUAUUUUAAACUUUUAUGAAUUGUGGUAUAGAAGUAUAAGCCAAUAUACUAUUUUAGUAUUGCCAAAUAAUUAUAAACUCAAAAUAAAAAAUUAUAUAGAAAAGUCAAAAUAAAGGUUCAACGAAGUUGACCCAAGUCAAUCUGAUCCAACCACGACCUAAUAAUGAUGCUGGUUCGGUUUUUGGUCUGAUUUUAAUAAUAUUGAUAAUAAUAAUAUGAAUGCCGAUAACAGAAUAAACAAAUAAGCACGUCAAUCAUUUUAAGCGACAUAAUUAAAAAUGAAUUUAGAAGGUGUACAGAAUUUUUUAAAAAAAAAAUUUUAGGAGAGUGAAAUAUAAUUUUUUGUUCUUAAGGAAUUAAAAUGUAAUUUUUCACAAGAAAUGAAACUUUGGCUUCCUUAGCUUUAUGUUUAGCUAUAUAAACAUUACAAAUUGCUCAGUGACCACCGGCAGAACCUUGGAACUUGGACUCAGAGCAUAUUAAUUGUGCUGGACGUGACAAUAAAUCGGAUCAGAUGGGCCUAAGAGUAAGUAUUCUUUUUGGUUUGAUUUAAAUCAAAUCAAAACAAUGUGAAUUGAAUAGAUAUAUAUUUUAUAAAAUAAAAAAUCCAAGAAUAUAUAAAAUUGAAUUGAAUCCAUUCAAUUCGACUAGUUCAAUUCUGUUUUUUUUUUUUCUUUUAAAUGAAUUUGAAUUUUUUUUUUUUUUUGAAUUUAAUGAAAACUAAACCUUGUCAAAAUAAAAUUUAAUUUUUUUAGGGCAUUUAAAUCGAAAAAAAUAUAUUAAAAAUUAAUUAAAUCGAAUAUUUUACCGAAAUAUGAUCAGCCUUAGGUGGAUUAAUUUUAAUUUGAAUUUAGGUAAUUUUCCAGAUCAUAUUUAUUAAAACAUGGAAAUGCUACAAUAUAUUAUGGGUUUUUCAUGAGUUUAAUAGAAUAUGAUGUCCAUAAAUAAAAAAAUUACAUUCUAUCCUAAUCACUACCACGAUGUCCAACUAGUUAUAUAUCAAAUUUUCUUUUUUUUUUUUUUCUAUCAUUCCAUUUAUAAUUUACUUUAUUUAACAUUAUGUGUCAAAUAACACAACUAAAUAUGUAAUUAACAAAGAAUCUAAAAAAUAAUUAAUAUACCAAAAAAAUAAAUAUAUAAUUUACGAUUGAUCACAGUCUAAAUUAAACCAUCUGAGUAAUUCUUCUUGAAAUUAUCAAGUAUUUAUUGACGAUGCACUUUGCAUACAUUUCGGGUUUAUUAGACAAAAUUAGUUAUUUGAAUAGCUAUUAGCUGUUUUAGUACCAUUUAGCAGUUAAUUAUUUGAGCAGCUUUUUAUAAAACGCUUAAAGCUAAAUAUUAUAUGAGUUAACUUUUCACUAAACACUACUUUAACCUUUAAAACCUAUUUCAAACAUUAUGUUACCAAAUAAUUUGUUAAGUAGCGUUCAACGUUUUGAUCGAAUAUAGUUUUCACAAUUUUCUUAUUGCAACAGGCAUAUGUUAAAUGUUUUUGGAGCCAUAUAUCAUAUAUACAUAUAAGGGCAAUCUCUUAAUUAUAUAAAAUAGUGUCAAAAACAAAUUACAUAUAAAAUAAUUCAUCAUGAUAAUAUUUUAAAAUAUCAUAAUUAUUAAAAAUGAAUUAAAAAUUAUUUGUUGACUAUUUGUUGAUAUCAAAAUGAAACACCCUGAAUUUUUAUUUUCGAAACAUUUGAAUUUUUAUUAAAUCAAAAAUUUUGAUUUUCAACUAUUCGGGCUAUAAACACCAAAUAAUCUUAACUUGAGUCCAAAAUUUUUGCGAGUUGGGCCCAAGCCAAGUAUAUUGUCGGAAUUUCAAUCGAGAACAGUUAAAUCGGGUCAAACUAUUGAUUUGGACCAAACCGGUUCGAAUCGAACCGGAAUGGCCUUGAACCCUCUAGAAACGCCUCCCCUCUUUUUUUUUUUUUUUUUCUUUUUCUUUUUUUUUUCUUUUUUUUUCUUCUCCUCUUCUGGAGGGCGCCGACCUCACCCCUCCCCCUUUCUCCUUUUCAUUUUUCCGACCACCGAAGACCAGCGCCUCCGCCACCACUCCUGUCGCCGUUGCCUCCUCACCGUGCUCUCCUCUCCAUCAUCACUUUUCCGACCGGUGCAAUAGUAGCUAGGAGCUGCGAUUCUGUUCCCGAUCGGGAAAUCGCAUCUCCAGCCUCUCCUUCGAUUUUCCCGUGACUCCAGCUCGAUCGGUCGGCUUUAGCUCCCUUCUCUGGCUGUGUCCCUUAAUUUCUCUCUCUUCCUUCCUGUUCCGGCUGGCGCAACGAUCAGGAGAAGCUGCGACUGUGGUUGCGAUCAGGAAAGUCUUGUUACCCUUUUUUUUUGCAUUUUCCGGCGAGCCCAGCCAAGGACCAGCCAAGGUAGACCUCCCACCUCGUCCCCGGUUCCUUUCCGACCACUGCCUCUUCUGUCUUCUUUAAAUUUAGCGGCGGCAGUAGCUACCGAUCGUUCUAACUGGAAAAUUUCGAUUUCCGGCGUAUGUUGCGACUGGGUAAGCUAUAUUAUGACCUUAAAUUUAAUUCAUGAGUUCUUUGAUCUUAGUUGAAGGAUUUGAGGUAUAUAAUUGAGCUAUCGUAGAAAUUUAAAUAUUCAGCUACUAUUUAUAUCAAUAUGAUUAGGAAUUUCAAUUUGUGCUCUUUCAAUAGGUAUAUAAACUAAAUCCUAUAUAGAAACGGUUAGAUUUUUGCUUGUAUUAUAAAUUUUUGUGAAGAAUUAAAGAUUCUUUAUAUUGGCAGUAGCUAUUUAGCCAUUAGCUUGAGAUUUAGGUAAGUAAUGAAGGUAAUGUAUACUAUAUGCUAAACUCUUGAUGGGAAAUUUUGAUCUUUACCAUCUAAUUGAUAUAUAACGUGAAUUCUUGUAUAGAAAUAGGUAGAUUAUUUGCUUAAACUACAAAUGUUUGCAAAGAAAUCAAGGUUCUCUUAACUAUGGCAGCAACUAACUUAAUUAUUUAUAUGAGUUCUAUGUUUUUUUUAGAAGGAAUGGUAUUACACAAAAUAAUUAUGUUGAGAAAUGAAUUGAUUAUCAUGUAAAACAUGAAUUUUGGUGGGGAAACUUAAAGGCAGCAACUAUAUUGUUCAUCUUGAUGAGUUUGAUAACGAUGAGAUUAGAAAUGGUAUAUUAAAAUGAAUUCUUUGUUUUUUUUAAAAAAUGAAUUUGCUAGUAAAUGAGUUUAAGCUGGAAUUUAGGAUUUCUAUGUAAUGGCGGUUGUUGCGAGGUUAGCUCUUAUGAGUUUUGGGCUAACUGACGACAAGAAUGGUUGUGUUUGAUUUGCUUAGGAUGAUAUGGAUUUAUUGGGUAUAUCUUUAUUUAAAGGGAAGUUCAAUCUAAGAACAUUUAAAUUAAACCUCGGAAAUUCGAUGUCUUUUGCAAUAAUUUGUAGAAAGGAAGAUAUGUACAUAGUUUCUAUUUGACUCAUGAAGCAUAUCUAAAUAAAUUGUGUGAAGAAAUCAAUUAAAGAAUAUUAAGUAAGAAUUAAUUGUGGAAUGUAAUAUUGCUAUUUGAGGAGGACGGGUAUGUGAUUAGUUGAUCGCCCGAUGGAUGGGCUGUGUGAUUGAUAAUUGCUAAGUAUAUUAAAUGGUGAUGUUUAAGCAGGUAGACAGUCCAAUUUUUAGGGGAGGUGCUGCCGAAAUUUUGAUAGAAAUUAGAUUAAAUUUUAAUUAAUAACAUAAUUAAUAAGUUUAUUUAGAUUAGUUCUAUAAUUUGGUACAUAAUAAAUCUGGUGCUCUGAUUAUUUAUUAUCUUUAUUAUUCAUUUCAUUAUUUACAUAUUUACUUAUUUAUUUUCAUUCUUAUUGUUAUUAUUGUUAUUUAUUUUAUUAUUGUUGUUUAUUGUCAAUACUAUUAUUUAUUUAUUUGUUUGCAAUGAUUUUCGAUGUUUAAUUGCGCAUUGCAUUACAAUGUCUAGUUGAUCAAUAUGUUUGCAUUUGACUGCGAUGUUUGAUUAAUUGUGUUGUGAUAUUACUGUGCUUUGCUUGUGUGGAAUUGGGAUGAAGUGGGUCACCAUGGGUUUGUGAGGACGGUCGAAAAAGCAUGGAUCCUGNNNNNNNNNNNNNNNNNNNNNNNNNNNNNNNNNNNNNNNNNNNNNNNNNNNNNNNNNNNNNNNNNNNNNNNNNNNNNNNNNNNNNNNNNNNNNNNNNNNNNNNNNNNNNNNNNNNNNNNNNNNNNNNNNNNNNNNNNNNNNNNNNNNNNNNNNNNNNNNNNNNNNNNNNNNNNNNNNNNNNNNNNNNNNNNNNNNNNNNNNNNNNNNNNNNNNNNNNNNNNNNNNNNNNNNNNNNNNNNNNNNNNNNNNNNNNNNGAAAAACAAUGAGAGGGCUGGUCAAGUGAGGAUUAGACCGGUCGGCCAGUAUGGGGGAUCGGCUCCCCGGUGCACAUGUGAGAGGAUGAGCCAUGUGGGAGGACGGCUCAUCGGGGGUUUGGUGACUCCACUGACUAAUUUCCACGUGAUGUGAUUAUAUGAAGAUGUUAAUGAUUGUGAGUGCCGGUGAUUUGCCAUUUGUGUGACUGGCUGCGUGAGCAUAAAACUAGUCGGGCGACAAGAUUAAUAUGUUUACACAUUUGUGUGACUGCGUGUGUGGUGCAAAAAUUAUUACUCCUUAGAAAACUCAUAUGACUUGUUUGAUUGUUUUCAGGAAUUAGGAAUUUCCUUCGAUUUGGCUAAGGCUAUGCAAUUUUCUUCGCAGGGCUAUAAAAUGUAAAAUUUUUAAAUUUUUGUGGUUAAGUAAUUAAUGUACUGUUAUAUAUAAGGAUUUCACCACUUCUAGAUGUUACCGAACUCCGCAGUUGUAGGAAUGAUAUACCACUAGUCAUGUAUUAAGUUGGUAGAAUAAUUUAUGAGAACCAAAGAUGUAUUAUAAUUAGGCCCAAAGUAUGUAUUAUUCGAUAUAUCUGAGAUUGGGCCAAAAAUUGUGCGAUUGUUAGUAUAUACACAUAUUUUUUUUAAUUUAUACAGGCUUACUACGGGCCUCGAGGGCUUUAAGCUUACUUGGGCCCUAGUGCCGGUCCGGCCCACGGAGACGGAUCGUGACACAAAAUAAGCAGAUCUCAACUUUAAGCGAUAAAAUAAAACGUAUCCAAUUGAGAAUGAAAAUCGAAUAAGAGGAACAUUUUACCCAUGUGAUAGACAAUGUCACUAAAAGAAACUCAUUAAUAGGAUUAAUGAGAAACUCAUUAAUAUAUAUAUAUAUAUAUAUAUAUAUAUAUAUAUAUAUUAGUGAGUAUUAAUGAGUGUGGGGAUAUGGCCGAGUAGUUUUUUAUUUCCUUUAAGAUAAGAACAAAAUAGUUUAAUAAUAGAACAGAAUAGUUUAAUAAUAACAAAUACUCGCAUUAAUUAUGAGUUUUGUCUAAAAUUUUUAAUUUUUUCUGUUUUGAUAAUUGUAUAUUUAAAUUAUUAAAAAAGUUACAAUCAAGUGUAUUUAUUCUAAUUAGUUUUUUUUUAAUUAAAUGACCACACGGGGCCAACCCGCACCACACAAUCAGCAUCCAAAAGCAACUUCACAUCAGGCGGAGGAUUGUCUAACCAGUCCACACCCACUGACCCAGCAGUAACGCUCUUAGCAAGAAAGUCUGCAACAACAUAAACAUGCAUUUAAUUUAUCUCUCUUUUUAAUUUUUUUAAUUUUUUAUUAUUUUAUCUCUUGUCUCUAAAAAAAACUCUUUUUUUUUUCAAUUACAAAACAAGGAAAAAAAAAUAAUAAAAAAAUAAAUCAAUAUAAUUGAGUAAAAUGGUUUGUUAUGACUUUCUUUUUUAACAAAUUUCUACCAGAUACACUCAAGUUAUUAAUUCAGACAUUUAAUUACAAAAUUUUCAAAUAUUAAAAUAGAAAAAAACUAGAAAGUUCAAUUACCACGGAUCAUUGCAUAUAUUUUAAUUAAAUAUGUCUCAUGCUAUCAAAUAGAAAAUACAAGUAUCAUGCCGGAUAAUUAUCAUAAAUUAUACAUUUAUAAAUGUAAUUUUAAAAUUAUGUUAUAAUACAAUGAAAUAUAGUAUUGCAUAAUAUUAUGUACGAUAAGUCCAUUUAUUAACUUUACACAUAAGAAUUCAACUUAUAGACAAUAUUAUGAACAUUAUAUUAACAUUAUCAUGCACGCAGAAUUAUAUAAGAAGUCAUAAUAGUAUUUAUACGGCUUGGUAAUGCUAUUUUUUCAAAAUAUUCGUUGCCAAAAAAUAUGUAUUUUAACCAAUAAAGUUAGAAAUCCAUUUAUGUGCAUUUUUACUUUAGUUGACAUAAUUUUAUUAUAAAUUUUUUUAACAAUACAAUUUUAUCGUCAACCUAUAAUAAUUUAAAAAUAUUUAAAAAAUAACGAUACCAUGUAAAUGAAUUAUUAAUGAAAUUAAUUUCACCAUCAAUUUAUAAUUUAAAUAAUAUUAAAAAUAAUUUAUAUUCAUAAUUUAAUUGAAAAUAAAUACAUGAAAUACUAUAGAUAUUAAGGAACUUAUUUUACAUGUAUAUUAAGUGAUAUACACGUCAAAAUAUAUAGAAAAGAUUAAAUUUAGUAUUGCAUCUAUUAGCUUUAAAUAUAUUCAUUAUAAUUUUACGAUUCAUUAUUUUGAGUAAAAAUAAAUAUUUUAUCAAUUUAGUAUCUCAAUUAAACUCUUUUAAUAUGAAUGUACGCAAAAGAAAAAAAAAAUCUUUUAAUGUGAAUCUAUUAGAUACAUAAUAUUUUUCAAAUGAGAAUGAACAAUUUAUAUAAAUGAAAAUCAAAUUUAAUUUUUAUUAAUUUCUUUUAUCUUUGAAAUUUUAAUUUGAGUCCAUCUAGAGAAAAAAAAUUUAAAUUCAUAUAGAUAUUAUUAUUUUGUGUUUAAAUAAGAUGUCAAAUAUUAUUAUUUGAUGAUUGAAGUAAUAAAAAUAAAAAUUAUUGUUCUAAAAUGGUAUUAGUAAAGCUUUAUAUAAGUUUGAAAUAUUAAUUUUUAAUUUGCUUGAAAAAACUAUUAUCAACAUUUAAUAAUUAGUAUUUGAUGGAUAACUGUAUAUUAUAAAUGCAUAUAUACUAUAUUAACAGUAAUAUGUAUGUACAUGAAUUAUCAAAAAUUUCAAAUUUCAAUGAUUUCCAUAUUAUAAGAGAAGAUACAUGAAAUUUAUUGAUUAGUUGGGUAAAAAAAAAAAGAAAAAAAAUCAAAUUAAGAAAAAAAAGUUAACUAUUAAUAAUUUUUUAUAUUUAAAUUAAUGGUACAAAAUUAAUUAACUAUUCAACAUAUUUAUAAUUAUGCAUUUAAGAAAUCAAAUGAAAAACUCAUAUUAAGUUUCACUUAUAUAAAUUAAAAAAAAUUUAAUUUAAUAAAGUUUAAAUGGAUAACAAAAUUUAAAUUAUGGCAAGAAUGUAAUUAAAGAAUAAUAAAAUAGUUAAGUAGGAAAAUAAUGUUGGACAUAAAUGUAAUUAAAUAACAAUAUAAGGUUUAAAGAGAAAAAUAUUAUUGUUGUAAGAAUGUAAUUAACGAAUAAUAAAAAAAUUUAAAAAGGUAAUUAUCUUUGGAUAGAAAUGUAAUUAAGAAAAAUAAAAGGAUUACAUUGUAAAACUACUGUUACGGCAACAAUAACCGCUCACGCGGCUUAGUAUAUAAUAAUAAGUGUUUUUAAAAUCGGACCGGUUCACCGCGAACUGGAAGUCGGUCCGAUCUGAUUUGACAUAUAAACCCACCAGGUGUAAAACUGGUUUGAAUCAAAAAACUGGAUUGAACCAGCCAAACCCGGUUUUUAACUUUUUUUGCCUUUUAUUUUUUUUUUUUUAUCUUUAUCCAAGUUGUCCAGCCCAUAAUAAUUAUAAUCAUAUGCAUAUGUAUAAAGUUACUGAAAAUAUUUUCAAAACUUUUGAAUUUUUAAUAAAUCGAAAAUCCAAAUUUUGAUGGGAUGGGCUGUAAGUACUGGGCAAUCUUGAUUUGAGCCCAAAUUGCUAAUUGAGCUCAAACCCAAAACAAGUUAUCGAAACUUCUAGUCGAAAUUAAUUUAAACUUCUUAGAAUUGAUAUUAGACCACUUAAAAUAAUAAUAAAAAUUAUAUUUACCACUUAAUUAGGUAAUCCUAAAUUUGAUACAUAAUGCACUAUUUUUGAGUAAAUUGAGAAAGAGAUAUAAAUUUGACUAAAUCAAUUAAAUGAAUCAAACGCUUGAAAAUCAUUGGGAAAUAAAUCGAACUAAUAAGAAUAAAAUGGGGUUAUACAAUAAAUAUUUAAUUUGUUGUUAAACAGGAACCGUAAACCGGCUUAAAGUUUUCGGAAACCAAGAGAAAAGAAAAAAAACAGAUAACCAAACAAAAAUCGAGCUAAAUUGUUGAGUUGGACCAAAACGGUUCAAAUCGAACCGGAAUGGCCCAGAACUCUCUAGACCCAUCUUCCCCUCUCUUUUUCUCUCUUCUUCUCUUCUUCUUAGCGCACGCAAGGAGCAGUGCCGCUUCUCCCUCCCUCUCCUCGUUUCCGGCCACGCUCAACGAAGGCUAGGUGGCGGUCGGCUCGUCUGGUGCUGGUGGUCGUGUCUCCAGCCUCCUCUCAUGCGGAAAGAGCUUCAAUGGGAGCGAAACGGAGCUGUUCUCCUCGACAGCUUGUGCUCACCAAAUUCCGACGAUCCACGUCGUUUCCGGCAGCUUCAAGGCGAGGGACAUACUUCGAUCGACUCCUCUCUUCCCAGCAAGUCUGUUUCUCCCAUCAGUUUCGGCGACAAAGCUUGCCUGACGAAAACGCCAUGAGCGACGGUGGCGAAGCCACUAUCAGGGUCAUUUCCGACGAAACAAGGCUCACCCAAUCCAAAUUGAUCACGGAUCCGGAGUCCCCAUGAGAUUCCGAGUGUUUUGGUUUAUAUGUUGUAAAAUUCUGGACUAAAAUCACUUUUCCGACUGAUCCCUUUUUUUUUAAAAUAAAAUGAAAUAAAACAAAAUGAUCCUUUUUUUUUUAAUUAUGUUUAAAAAAACAAAAUAAAAUAAUAAUUUAAUAAAAAUGCAUGUUAUUUUUUAUGCUUGAAAACACAAAAAUUCUUAACAAUAAUGUAGAAAUUAGAUAUUAUGAAAACUAGAAAAACUUUAACAAUUAUAAAAAAUUCAGAAGUGGUUCAAAUGUUGAACUCAUUCUUUUAUUUGAUGUAGAGAGUAAAAAAAAUACCGAGAAAGUGAAAAAAAUUAGAGAUAAUAAUGUAAAAUAUAAAUGAAAAAUAAAGAAGGAAUAGAAGAAAAAGGCAUUGCACAUAUAGAAUUACAAUCAAAUGUUUAAAAAUAUAACAAAAAAAACAAAAUUACUUUUUAUUUAGAUCGAAUUAUGGCAUAUCCAUAUCCGAAUUGAAUUUUAUUUUAGCAUCAAUAUCAACCUACCACUGAAUAGAUCAGAUUUUAUCUACUCCAUUUGAAUUAGAUCAGACCGGAUAUCCAACUGAUCCUCCUACUUGUUUUGAAGCUCACUUCUGCUUGCAACUAUUCAAUUUCUUGGCCAGUAAUAUCCUGUGCAUUAGAUAGUGCUUCAAUUUGCUGUAAAAAGGUCCAAAUCUUUGAGAAGAAUGGGUUUUCUCUCAAACCUAUUGUUCCAUAUUUGCACAAUGAGCUUUUCCAUGUACCACAUUAACAUGGAACAUUUAAUUGAUUUUUCUAAAAAAUUUCAUACAUUCAAUUCAUUUUUUUUUUUUUUUUUUCCUAUUCAGACAUCAAAAGAAAUUUUUUUAAAUUUAAAUGUCAAAAAUGUUAUUAUCCUUAUAAGCUAAUGUGUUUAAUAUGUGUAAUUUUAUAAAUUAAAAUGUUGAACGAGUCAAAAUAAAAGUUAAAAAUACUAUUAAAACUUUUUUCUAAAUUUAGAUGCAAAAUCUAUGCAUUUCACCUAAAAAAAAAUGUAAAAAACAAAACAAAAGAACAUCAAUAACAUGAUUUUCAUAUGUUAUGUGUAUAAUACAUACAUAUAUGUGGGAGAGAGAGAGAGGUAUUACAUGAUUUUUUCUUUUUUUCUUUUAAACCACUAUUAACUCUUUUCUUUUUUUUAUACCACCGGUAGUGUUGUAUUCUUUGAAUAAAAACCUAAGGAAAUAUUUAUCCAUAUCCGGUAUAUAAGCCUACUUAUAUACUAGAUAUAUAAUAAAUAAUAUUUUUACUACAUUGCAAAAAAAGACAAAAUGAUAACAUUUCAAUUUUUUUUAAUUAACUUGAUAUAUGAAAUCAUUUAUCAAAUAUAAAUAAAAAAAUUCAUAAAAUUAUUCUUUUUUCGUGGUUCGUGACUAUCCUUCGUAAAUGCUUUUUCCAUGUGUUAAUUUAUUUUAAUUCAAGAUAACUAACGACCAAACCUUUUCAUUUGGUCCAAAAGCAUUUGACAUGUGCAAAAUGACAUUUAUGUUUAUAUGCAAAUUCAUUCCACCUAAAAAGACGUAAGAAACAAAACAAGUACAUCAGCCACAUGAUUUUCAUAUAUAUAUAUAUAUAUAUAUAUAUAAUGGGUAUGACGGUAGGUCGGGUAUGGAUCAGAUAUUACGUUACUCUCCCCACUAUAUAUUACUGCUCCAUCAUCUGCUUCGCUAAGGGUCGGUGCAAGGUGGGAUAUGGAUCAAGUUGGAUAAAUCCAUUUUCUUAAAAAAAUAUCUAAACUUUAUUUUUUUCAAAUUUUUAUUAAAAAUACCAAGUAAAUGAAUUAUUAACGAAAUUAAUUUCAUCGGAUUUAAAAUUUAAAUAAUUAUUAAAAAUAAUUUAUAUUCAUAAUUUAAUUGAAAAAUAAAUGCAUGAAAUACUAUAGAUAUUAAGGAACUUAUUUUAUUUUACAUGCAUAUUAAGUGAUAUACACGUCUAAAUAUAUAGAAAAGAUUAAAAUUAGUAUUGCAUGUAUUAGUUUUAAAUAACUUAUUCAUUAUAAUUUUACGAUUCAUUAUUUUGAGUAAAAAUUAAUAUUUUAUCCAUUUAGUAUCUCAAUUAAACUCUUUUAAUAUGAAUGUACGCAAAAGAAAAAAAAUCAUUUAACGUGAAUCUAUUAGAUAUAUAAUAUUUCUCAAAUGAGAAUGAACAAUUUAUAUAAAUGAAAUCAAAAUUUAAUUUUUAUUAAUUUCUUUUAUCUUUUUAAUUUUAAUUUGAGUCAAUCUAGACCAAAAAAAAAAAAUUAAAGUUAUAUAGAUAUUAUUAUUUUGUGUUUAAAUAAGAUGUCAAAUAAUGUUAUUUUUAUUGAUUGAAAGAAUAAAAAUAAAAAUUAUUGUUCUAAAAUAAUAUUAGUAAGUUUUAAUAUUUGGGAUUAAUUUCUGGUAGGCAAGCUUAUAAUUAUUUCAAACAAUUGCCCUCCAUUGAGAAAAUCUGAGAUUGAGUACUAUGCCAUGCUUUCUAAGGUUGGAGUACAUCAUUAUAAUGGAAGUAGUGCUCACUUUAUUUCUUUUGUUGAAUCUUGAUGGUCUACAUUUUUUUUUUGUUUCAUUUUGCUAUUUAUUUGAUAGCAGAGACUGAGAAUAACGUUUGUGUUUGCAUAUGAGAAUGAGGGUUGUACUUGUAAGAUGCAUGCCCUUCACCUCAUUAACUUCUGAUAAUGAUAGCCUCUCAGACAUUAUUUGCAUACCAUUUUAGAUUUAAUUGCAUACUUUCUAUUGUUUCUGAUAAUUUGGAGUGUGCGAGGGUGAUUUUGUAUCAGUUAGCUUCAUUAGUUUUUUGUCAAAGAUAUCAGUCACUUUGCAGAAUGGUAUGUUAUAUUAUCCUUGAGUUGUUGUAUAUGUAAGUUUGCGAUUGUAUACGAGUUGGAUUUACUUAAUAUGGUUUGUUCAGAUUUCUUUACACACAUUUGUUAGGUAUAUCCUGCAGGGGUCUUUAUUGGGUAUUUGGUCUUUGAAAAUAAAGUUUAAUGUCAAAAGCUUAAGUUGAAUUUUUGAACUUUUAGCAAGAAAAUAUAGAAUGAAACAUCCACAAAGAACCCCUAUACAGUUUGUAAAGUCAAAUCGAGCAAAAAUGCAUCAUAUUUUCUUUUUGAAGGUAUAGGGGAUUGGAAGGGUCCUUGUCUAUGAUUGCAUUUGUAUCUUAUCGAUGGAUGUUGUCAUCUAAUAUAUGUUGCUUAGAACCCGAAUUUGUUUAACUAGUUAUUGAAGCUUCAAAAAUGGCCGUUGAGCCCAAGACUUGCACAUGUGUGGAUAGCUUUAUAUUUUGUUCAGUGUUCAUAAAUUUGAAGCUGAUGUCUUCAUCAAUGUGUUUUUCCAGACAAUGUUGACUUGGGAACCGCUUGUGGGAAGUAUUUCCGUGUUUCUUGCCUGAGCAUUAUUGAUCCAGGUAAAAUAUCAUAUCAAUUGUGUUUUGAACAUUGUGUUAGUAUUUGAUCCACUGACAUUUGAGUGAAUGUCUCUGUUGUGCAGGUGAUUCAGAUAUCAUCAAGAGCCUCCCUAGUGAUCAAUGAGCAAUUAUAUUUCUCUUUCCUUUUUACAAUGUUUGAGCCCUCUCCAAUUUGGACUUUUCUUUUUCUUUCCCCGUGAUAUUAGACAUUAGUUUGAACUCUUUUUGUCAAAUUUUGCUAAGUGUGUACGUGAUGACUCAUUUUACUUGUUCUAUUUUGGAAAUCAUUUAUAAAUCAAGUUAUGCUACUACUAAUUAUGAGUACAAGAUCUAUGUUGUAGCCCGAGUUAUGCAUUAUGUCCAUGCUGAUUUACAGACACUAGUUGUGUUGGCAAAUAUUUUAUGUUAAAUUACUAAAACACUCCUAAUACAUCUCUGUUGGAAAAUUUUGUUUGUUUGCAUUUUGGGAAAUACGAUGUUUUAAUUGGAACAAUAUUGCUUCACUUUAUAUUUACUCGAUCUAUCAACAGAUUCUUUACUGAGGGAUAAAAAACGGAACGAAGUGCAUAAUAGGUCAGGUGUCUUGUGGUUAUGGUAAUUAUACGUAUCAAUGUAUGACUUGAUGAAUUGUACAACCCUUGGGCUCUGUUUGGGUUGCAGGAUUUGGCUUCAUACCACUAGUUUUGAAACAGACUCAGGUCUAAUCCAAAAAAACAAUCUCCUUAAGCAAUGACAGACUUUAGACUAAUUUCAUUAUGCAAUAUAUUCUACAAGGCAGUGGUUAUGGUUAUGAUAUAUGUUACUUGUAUCUAAUGCUUAAUUCUUUAAGGGGGACGGCUAUUAGGGUCGGUGAUCCUUGAACGGCAUCUACGCAGGGCUGUCUUCUUUCGCUGUACCUUUUAUCCUUUCGCCAUACCUCAAAGAACCUGAUCAUGGUGCAUUAUCGAUCUUACAUUUAUUCUCUGUGGAUGAUCUUUUCCUUUUCUUUAUAGUAAACCUCUUUAAAUGUGAUUAAUUAGAAGUUGUUUGGGUGUUUGUGAAAGAAGAAUUUCUUAGACUCGUUUACUACGUCAGCUAUAGAAUCGUUCAAUGGGACAAAGUCAUAUCAAAUAAAGUUGCAUAAGUAGUUUGCUUUUUUUUUUUUCCUAAACUUAUUUUCUAUUAAUUUUUCAUGAUUCUCGUUUAGUUAGAGAUAAGAAAUCUAAUUGAAAGCAGUUAAUUGAAUGAGUUUAUAGUUGACGCAGUAGAUUACGCUAUCUAAACAUUUCUCUUGUGAAAGAGCUUCACGCAAAACUAUGAAAUUUCAAAAAUCCCCUUGAGUAAUAAUACUUGGACUGACGUUCAUAUGGAAUGCCAUAUCGAGAAACAAUCAGGCUUCCCAAAAGGUUAAAUCAUAUUAAGAAGUAAUUUUAUGUUUUUUUUUUUUUUUGUUGAUUUUCUAAGUGCAGAUAGAUUUCUCUUCAUUUUUGAUUCAUAUACUUCUUAUGGUAUUUUAAGCACCUAUGUUUAGCGAUGAUCAUUGAUCGGAUUCGGAUCGGAUUAUAUAAAAUCCAUAUUCGAUUCAUGAAGAUUUUUAUAUAUUUAUGUCCAUAUGCGCUCCGGGCAAAUUCAAAUCAGAUCAAAUGUUGGAUUUGAUAUGAUCCUUUUUUUAUUAUGUUUAAAAGAAAAAAAAAUAAUUUAAUAAAAAUGCAUAUUAUUUUUUAUGCUUGAAAACACAAAAAUUUUUAAUAAUACUUGAAAAAAUUGUAUACUAUGACAACUAGAAAAACUUUAACGAUCGUAAAAAAUUCAGAAGUGGUUGAAAUGUUGAACUCAUUCUUUUAUUGUAGAGAUUAAAAAAAAUACGAAGAAAGUGAAAAAGUUGGAGAUAAUAAUGUAAAAUAUAAAUGAAAAAUGAAGAAGGAAUAGAAGAAAAAGGCAUUACACAUAUAGAAUUACAAUCAAAAGUUAAAAAAUAUAACAAAAAGGCAAAAUUACUUUUUACAGAUUGGAUUUAGAUCGAAUUAUGGCAUAUCCAUAUCUGCAUCGAAUUUUAUUUUAGCAUCAAUAUCAAUCUACCACUGAAUAGAUCAGAUUUUAUCUACUCUAUUUGAAUUGGAUCGGACCGGAUAUCCAACUGAUCGGGUGACUUCAUCCUCCUACCUGUUUUGAAGCUCACUUUUGCUUGCAACUAUUCAGUUUCUUGGCCAGUAAUAUCCUGUGCAUUAGAUAGUGCUUCAAUUUGCUGUAAAAAGGUCCAAAUCUUUGAGAAGAAUGGGUUUUCUCUCAAACCUAUGGUUCCACAUUUGUACAAUGAGCUUUUCCCUGUACCACAUUAGCAUGGAACAUUUAAUUGAUUUUUCUAAAAAAAUUCUUACAUUCAAUUCAUAAUUUUUUUUUAUUUUUUAUUUUUUAUUUUUUUUUUUUGCAUUUAGAUAUCAAAAGAAAUUUUUUUUUUAAAUUUAAAUGCCAAAAGUAGCAUUAUCCUUAUAAGCUAAAGUUUUUAAUAUGUGUAAUUUUAUAAAUUGAAAUGAUCAAUGGGUCGAAACAAAAGUUAAAAUACUAUUAAAACUUUUUUGUAAAUUUAGAUGCAAAUUUAUGCAUUUCACUUAAAAAAACAUGUAAGAAACACCUAAAAAAAAGUGUAAGAAACAAAACAAGAACAUCAAAUUUUAAUUUAAUUUUUUGAAAAUAAAUCAAAUUUCAAAUAUUAUUAGUAAUAAAAAAAUUAUCUAUAUUUCAAAUUAUAGCAUAUAUAAAAUUUUACUAAGAAUAUUUUAGAAAAUCACAUUAUUCUCUUUCUUUACCAUAUUUAUAUAUGUUAUGAAAUUUAUUUAAAAUUGUCUGUCAAAUAACAAUGCAUAAAAAAAAUGAUGCAAACGAAAAAAAAUCUAUAAUUAACGAUUAUCAUAGUAUCUGAAUUGAACCUUCUCAAUAAGUUCACUUCAAAUUAUACAUUCAAGAUGUAAUUUGCAUAUCAGAUUACAUGUUAAAUGUUCUCGCAGCCAUAAAUUAUAUACAUAUAAAGGGAACCUCCAUCCAAAAGAGUGUCAAAAUAAUUAAACAUGUUAAAAUAAUUAAUCUUAUAAAUUAACUUUCAAAUAUUAUAAUUAUUAAAAAAGAUAUUUGUUGACUAUUUAUUGAUAUCAAAAUAAAUCAGUCUCAAAUUUGAAAAAUAAAAUAAACCAUAUCCAAUAAUAAUUGAGAAUUACAAUCUAAUAAAGAGGAACACAUGUUUUUAUUUUUUAUUUUUUUAAAAUUUGCUUUCCUAUAAGAUACGUGUGUGUUUGUUUUUGUUCAAUAAUUUCUAUGCAAGUUUAGGUAUAGACUUGACAAUAAAAUUAUAUUUGAAUUAUCUCCUCUAAUGCUAAAAAAAAAAAUUUAUUAUUAAGAAAAUUCCAAAUUUAAUUAAGAACAAUUACAACUUUAUAAUUUAAAGAAUAAAUAUUUGAUUUCUUGAAAAAAUAGUAAAUAUCGUAUAAUACAUUUUUUAUUGAAAUAUUAAAUUGAUAAACAGAAAAAAAUAUAAUUAAUUUAAAUGAAAAAAAUCAAAUAUAAUAGAAAGCAACUAAAUUAAUAUAUAAAUUUUUUUUACAAAAAAAAUAAUUUUUAUUAAAUAAUAUUAUCCAGGAGAAACUUAAUUUAUUUAAAUACUGUCCAAAAUCAUUUAUAUAUGAAAUUUAAUACUAAAUGAUGAUUAGUUUCUUAUAAAUUUUAAAUAAAUUUAUUAUUUUAUGUAUAUCAUAGAAAAAUUCACUAAAAGAAACUCAUUAACAAGAUUAAUUUUGAGACAUACAUAUUUUAAAACUUUAGUGGCCGCCCUUGGUCAGAAGCACCAAUAGAUAGUCCAAAAAGCUGCCAGAAUACACUAAUAUUUCAUGUCUUAUAGGAUAAGGAUAGAAAAAUUUAAUAAUAACAAUAGCUACAAAUAAAUAUACAUAACGCACAUGAUUUGCAUAUGUUAAAUCUGCUUCCUGCUAUAUUCAAAUUGUGGUUGAUGCAUGCACUGGCCAGUCUAUAUAAAGCAUGAAGAUGAAACAAUGUUCACCAAGUUAUCUAGCAUUUGAGCUUUAAGAAAAAAAGAAAAAAAAAGGAGGGAGAGAAAUGGCAGGCCUAGGUUUAAGCGUGAUUGGUAACGUAGCAGAUAGGUGGAGGGAGCUGAGCGGUGAAAACAACUGGGAGGGUCUGUUAGAUCCUUUAGACUUUGAUCUCCGUUGUUCCAUUCUUAACUAUGGCGAUAGAGCUGCAGCUAUUGGCGAUGCGUACAAUAACAAGAAGUAUGAAGAUUUGCAUGGGUUUAGCCGUGUUCCACCAAAUGAGUUGUUCACUAAAGUCGGUGUAAGAGCUCGCAAUGAAUUCGAUUAUACUGUGACUGACUUCAUUUAUUCAAGACUAGAGGUUCAAUGGUUCGACACUGUCAUUGAAGAUGAGUCCACUUGGUGUGCGUAUGUGGCAGGGGCAACAGAUGAUGGAAAAAAGAAGCUUGGAAGAAGAGAUAUUGUUGUUUCUUGGAGAGGAACCAUAUUGCCUGGAGAAAAGCUCAAUGACUUAGAAUUUAUACCAAUUCCAGCUUCAGAUAUAUUUCCAAAUAAUAACAAUGAUCCUCUUAUCCACUUUGGCUUUCACCGAAUCUAUACAACAGAAAACGACAACUCCAUUUACAACAAGAAAAGUGCAAGGGACCAGGUAUCUUUCUACUAUUCUGAUCUUGACGUCUCUUAUAUGCUCUAUACGAUAUUAAUACUUACUUUAUUUAGAGGUUUAAGAUCGAUCAGAAAGUUUGACUGAAGGCAUAAUGUAAGCAAGACUUAUCCUAUAUUCAAAUAUAUGCAUGCAGGUUCUAAACGCAGUGAGCAAAUUGGUUGAUCAAUACAAAGAUGAGGAAGUGAGUAUAACAGUAACUGGCCACAGCUUGGGAUCGGCACUUGCGACCUUAAACGCAAUGGAUAUAGUUUAUAAAGGCAUUAACAAGCCAACAGGAACUGCAAACAAAAGUUUUCCGGUGACAGCGAUUGUAUUCGCUAGUCCUAUGGUAGGAAACGAAGGAUUCAAGAAGGUAUUUGAUGAGCUUUCUGAUAUUCAUGUGUUAAGGGUAGAAAAUGCUAACGACCCAGUUCCUAAACUUCCACCAAAUGAUAUACUAAUACCUCAGCAUCGUUAUUAUCAUGUGGGAGAAAGCUUACCAAUUGACACUACACUCUCACCCUUCUUAAAGACUAGUGAUGUUAAUCCACAUGAUUUGAACGUCUACUUGCAUGGAGUUGCAGGAAC
Molecule: long non-coding RNA, 22421 nt
Filed under: Jatropha curcas
Lineage: Eukaryota; Viridiplantae; Streptophyta; Magnoliopsida; Malpighiales; Euphorbiaceae
Description: long non-coding RNA (JCUR_LNC000068)
Source: RNAcentral